UACGUAGGGCGCGAGCGUUAUCCGGAAUUAUUGGGCGUAAAGAGCUCGUAGGCGGUUUGUCGCGUCUGUCGUGAAAGUUCAGGGCUUAACCCUGAAUGUGCGGUGGGUACGGGCAGACUAGAGUGCAGUAGGGGAGACUGGAAUUCCUGGUGUAGCGGUGGAAUGCGCAGAUAUCAGGAAGAACACCGAUGGCGAAGGCAGGUCUCUGGGCUGUGACUGACGCUGAGGAGCGAAAGCAUGGGGAGCGAACAGG
RNAcentral lists this ribosomal RNA (253 nucleotides) under uncultured bacterium. RNAcentral's name for it is "partial 16S ribosomal RNA". It matches the Rfam family "Bacterial small subunit ribosomal RNA", at positions 524 to 776 of the family's 1533-position model. The record is from RNAcentral.